GAUGAACGCUGGCGGCGUGCCUAAUACAUGCAAGUCGAGCGAACAGAUAAGGAGCUUGCUCCUUUGACGUUAGCGGCGGACGGGUGAGUAACACGUGGAUAACCUACCUAUAAGACUGGGAUAACUUCGGGAAACCGGAGCUAAUACCGGAUAACAUAUUGAACCGCAUGGUUCAAUAGUGAAAGGCGGCUUUGCUGUCACUUAUAGAUGGAUCCGCGCCGAAUUAGCUAGUUGGUAAGGUAACGGCUUACCAAGGCAACGAUACGUAGCCGACCUGAGAGGGUGAUCGGCCACACUGGAACUGAGACACGGUCCAGACUCCUACGGGAGGCAGCAGUAGGGAAUCUUCCGCAAUGGGCGAAAGCCUGACGGAGCAACGCCGCGUGAGUGAUGAAGGUCUUCGGAUCGUAAAACUCUGUUAUCAGGGAAGAACAAAUGUGUAAGUAACUGUGCACAUCUUGACGGUACCUGAUCAGAAAGCCACGGCUAACUACGUG
This 497-nucleotide ribosomal RNA is filed under the name uncultured bacterium. RNAcentral's name for it is "partial 16S ribosomal RNA". It matches the Rfam family "Bacterial small subunit ribosomal RNA", at positions 28 to 507 of the family's 1533-position model. The record is from RNAcentral.